ACGGAGCCGUAUCAGUGUGAGGCCGGCUAUCAGCCGCCUAACAUCGAGGUCGGGGUUACGCUUGUAUACGUAACACGGCUGCCGCAGGCACCCAUACACACACUUGCGACACCCGUGCACGGAUUCUCGCGGAUUCUCUUGUCGUGGGCUAGGCGAACAGAGGGAUCUGCGAACUGUUCACGCGGGGAAUCCUUUUUGGUCGUCGACGGGUGGGCAGCCUUUCUCCAUGCAGUAUGCGUCAUAAUCGAUAAGGACAGGAGCGGGGCGCGUGUAUAGGAUCGUCUUAAAGGAAACGUCGCGCCCUUCGAGUAUGUCGAAAUGAAUGAAAGUCGCGAGAGAAAGAAGAGCGAGAGAGAGAAAACGAAAGAGAGUGUACGUUUGGACGAGGUGAGUGCGAGCGUGUGAGGGAGAGAAAGGGAGACAGAAGCAAACGUAAGAGGAAUCAUAGGUGUCGAGGUUAAGAGAUAACCGUGACUAAAGGGAAACGGGGUGGGGGGAAAAGGAAAGACAAGGAGAAAUUCGCGCGCGCGUGUGUCCCUAACAGUAAGAAAAAAAAAAAAUAAAAGAAAUAAAGAAACAAUUGAAGCAGCUCGACACAUUUGACACCGUGGACAUCGUGCUGUUCGAUUCUUCGUAACGAGUCUCUUUUCGUUUGACAGUCGCAGAAAAGGACCAACGGUGCGCCACACGUCGAAACGAACAACCGGUCCUCGGAAGAGUGGAAUGCGGACAACGUAGAGUGAACUGUAGACAGGACAAUUUAGAUAGACAAGCAGACAAAAAGGGGAAGGGAGAGAAACAGAAAGAGAGAAAAGAAGCUGGUGAUAUCACGGGCAAGGAAAUUGCGGAACGUAAACGGGUCACGCGAGCAGACCGUGUCAUCGGUGUCUCGUGCUUCGAGGGGGAAGUAUCGAGAUAUAUUGGCGGUGAGUGCGGUAUCGAGAGUAAUUAAGCAGUCGCGGGAUUACUCGGUAAUAAUGGCUGGUCGCGAUUGAGCGAGAGAGACAGAGGAAGCGUGUGCGCGGCCACUAGUGUAGACUGGCUACAUCUAUCCGAAUAACGCGGACGACGAAGAUAGAAAAGUCAAAGGAGAAAAAAUAGAGAAGGCAAGUGAGAACAGGUACUGAUAGGCUUGGAUAAAAGGGGAGGAAGAGCGGGGUUGAUUGCCGGAAAAGCGGCGGGAUCGCAAUCGAAGAAAAUCAGAUGUCGUUAGGGGCCGUUGCCAGAACCCGGAACGGAUAUAUCGUUAGAAACGGUGUGGCGAUCGAAUAAACGAGGCGAGCAUCAAGAACAAAGUGACAGCUUGUCGCGGUGGUCGUUGUCGUCAGUCAACGUCGAUUCCCUUCCCGCUCCCUACUUGGAGCAGAAGAGUCGAUGGGAUUGCGAGGAACACGGCUGGAUCGAGUCGAAGCGUGUCAGCGAGGAACGGAGGAGUACGACUCGAAGCGGGCAGAUGAUUUUCGAUCGAUUGACGGUCGCACGGCAUCGAGACUAUCGCGCCACCGAGUCUUGUUACGUGUGUAGGUUGCCAUGCCGUCGAAUUGCCGCCGGAGAUGCGCACCGACGUUCAGUGACGAUGACACUUAGCUGAGAUGUGUCAUUUUUGACAGGAUCGACGGGGGAGAACAACGAUCGCCACAUCUGCUUCUUUCAAACGAUGCUUGGAUACAUCGUCGACGGAGGGAGACGAAACGCACGGUGAUCAGUAAUAACGAGAAAGAGGAAGAAAUAAAGAAAAUUGAGAGUAAUAGGGGGGACGAAGAAAGAAAUAGAGAACGUGAGGUGGAUCGAAGAAGAAAAGGAAAGCGAAUAUAGCAGAUCGGUGGAGAAAACGAGAGGAUGGCACCUCGACGCUCGUGCGUGGCCAAGCCGAAUGUGAAGAAUCGCUUUGUAGCGAAGAAACGAGGGGUGCAGCAAGAACGAAACAAGGCGAGGAAGUACGCGACUGCGAUAACUCGUUUUUCGCAACUCGUAGCUGAGUCUCGAUUCUGAGAGGCGCCCCGUCGACGUCGUUUUUAUGUGGCCUCCUCGUCAGAGUGACGACGAGCGAGAGGAUUCGGCACAUUGCCCGUCGGCUGCACGUGCGCAUUGAUGGUCGAUAGUGAAACUCCUUUCAGAGGCAGAUAGACGCGGAAUAAUCCUGUGCUUUCUCUCGUGUCGAAUUUUCGUGUCGAACAGGUGAGAGACGGCCCGCACACACACGGCUGGCGAACGAAUCACGCGCAUUCCGUCCUAGAACGAUUAUUAAUAAAUAUAGAAAAGAAAAAGGAAGAAAAAAAGAGAAGGCAAAAUAAAACUGAAGAGAACAGCGUGUAUGUGGAGCCCUUCGAAAACGAGAAUCGUUCAACGACUAACCAUCGUAUCUCAAGGAGAAUAAUCGGUGACUAGUCGUACCAAUCGUGUGCAGCGUGUUGAGAAUGAUAAAGAAAGAAUAAGAGAAAGAUAGAAGGGCAUGCUGGGUAUACGAGACAGUGUGGUUUCGUUUCUGAGAGAACAACGGCAACAGCAGCUGCACAUGCUACGGUGAUCCGUAUCAAUUCGCGACUGUGAUUUCUAAACUUAAGGUUAUAAACAAAUAUUAAAGAGCAAAAGACGAAGAAGAAGAAAGAGAGACGGGGAGGAAUAAGAAGCGGAGGAAGUAUAUAAAUUAUUAAACACAAGCAAGAUAGAAAAAUAUAAAAAAUCGUCCAUUGUGAUACUAAGAUAUAUUAAACGAGAAUUAGGUGAACACGUGCGCUCAAGGAGAUGGGUGUGAAUGAAAGGGGGCGCGACACAGUGCCAGGCUGAAAUGCGAGUGUAAUUAAUGGAAACGAUGGUCGAUCGUGGGGCAUGCGUCGGAUCUACAAACUGUGAUACACCGAUAACCACACCGAGGAAAGUCUGAUGUUCGAUCACUGACGUCGAAUCGCGUGUACCGACCUAUCCAGAAACAAAGUGGAAUGAAUCGCCGGUUUCGAGUCGUGUUCUCAGCUACCUCGUGAUUCUUUCGCAGUCAGUUCAACCGCGUAACAUCGCAAUAUUACAAGAAGCAGAGGG
Bombus impatiens (common eastern bumble bee) is the source of this 3036-nucleotide long non-coding RNA. RefSeq lists it as uncharacterized. The transcript is spliced from 2 exons. NCBI's taxonomy places the organism in Eukaryota, Metazoa, Arthropoda, Insecta, Hymenoptera, Apidae. The record is from RefSeq and is a predicted model, not a curated record.